GGUGGCUGUAUUCGUGGAGAAGGGAACGUCAGUUUAUGUAACAUUGACUUCUCAACACUGGGAUGACUUCCAUGUCUGACUGCCCAGAACUAAACUCGUCAUCUCCACAGAAGGACCUCAGCCAGGCUUCCUGCACCUUCAAAGUAGUCCCAAGUCCAGGAGUAACAACCCUUUGCAUUUGUGCAGCGAUCUCAAGCUUCUUCUUUUUUUUUUUUUUUAAAGCUAAAUCUCACUGUUGUUAUCUGUGGACCAGACGCCGCUAGGGGCAUGACUCAAGCUCUCCGCUUUUCUCUGAGGUACCCAGGGCUUUCGCCCACGGGGCCAGAGAGCCGCACUCAGGGUCCCGGGUGGGUUCCUCUUCCUCACAGGCUGCUUCUGGGACAACGGCCACCUGUACCGGGAGGACCAGCCCUCGCCCGCGCCGGGUCUCCGCUGCCUCAACUGGUUGGCCGCGCAAGGCAGCGGCGAGUCGCUCGCCCAGCCCAGUGAGUGAACGCCGGGGUGACGGGCGGGGUUGGUGGGCGGCGGCCGCGGCCCUUAACGCCUCUUCUCCCCACCCCAGGCCCCGGCAACCACAACUACUGCCGGAACCCGGACCAGGAUCCGCGUGGGCCCUGGUGCUACAUCAGCAGCGAGACUGGCGUCCCUGAAAAGCGGCCCUGCGAGGACUUGCGUUGCCCAGGUACCCGCCCUGGGACCCCUGGGUAGGGGACGUUAGUCCCGUGCGCCGAGCAGCGCAGCAGCGGUUACACCCGCGGCGCACGUGCGGCUGCUCGACCCCGGCCCCGCCCCGUUCCACCCCCGCGCGGUCCGAUUGGUCAGAGCUAUCUCCAGGCCGCGGAGCCCAAAGCCCAUUGGCCGCCGCAGCAUUCGGAGUGAGCUCAUCCUCUGCGAGCACUUGUAAACAACGGUGGGAGGCAGUUCGCUCGUUCCGCAAAGCGCUCCACCAGCCUUUACUGUGUGUAGCGUCCCCAGCUCACAGUCUCAGGGAAGAAGCUGUGUGAGGGACCUGAGUCACCCAGAAGUUUGACCACCUGCCAAAGGCAAUGGGUGUGUUGUGAUUUGAAUUC
This 1070-nucleotide long non-coding RNA is filed under the name Rattus norvegicus (Norway rat). Its description in RNAcentral is "long non-coding RNA NONRATT009513". The record is from RNAcentral. Lineage: Eukaryota; Metazoa; Chordata; Mammalia; Rodentia; Muridae.